UACGGAAGGUUCGGGCGUUAUCCGGAUUUAUUGGGUUUAAAGGGAGCGUAGGCCGUUUGGUAAGCGUGUUGUGAAAUGUAGUGGCUCAACUUCUAGAUUGCAGCGCGAACUGUCAGACUUGAGUGCGCACAACGUAGGCGGAAUUCAUGGUGUAGCGGUGAAAUGCUUAGAUAUCAUGAAGAACUCCGAUUGCGAAGGCAGCUUACGGGAGCGCAACUGACGCUGAAGCUCGAAGGUGCGGGUAUCGAACAGG
Molecule: ribosomal RNA, 253 nt
Filed under: Prevotella bivia
Lineage: Bacteria; Pseudomonadati; Bacteroidota; Bacteroidia; Bacteroidales; Prevotellaceae
Description: partial 16S ribosomal RNA
Rfam family: Bacterial small subunit ribosomal RNA
Source: RNAcentral